UUUCAAAUUGCUGUAUUGUUUGAGGUGACUAUUCAUGUGCAAAUCGAACGCAGCAUAGGUCACAGAUAAUUUUUCAACCAAAUAUUUACUGAUAACAGUAGCCGGAUUCAGAUUUCUCCUUCACUUUAUAUUCUUCUUGAAGAUGUGAAGGCAAGAUAUUUUUCCUUUGCCAACAUCUGCUCCCCUCACCCCUCUUUUUUUUUGGCUCACAGCAUGGAAACUACAGUUACAGCUUAGCCUGUUUUGCUUAUGGAACUGUGCCAGAAGCAGUUUUGAAGGUGUUUUAAAAAUGAAGACAUCUGGCAGCUGGCAUAUUCACAAUUCAUUUGCCAAAGACAAGUUGUAUGCUGCUGGAAUUUUCAUCUGAAGGUCACGCACCAGAAAUUGUCCACCUUGAGGAGAGGAAAGCAAUUCAGGGGCAGCGAGUCCCUGUGAGUCCCUUUUGCAUGAAGACU
Molecule: long non-coding RNA, 455 nt
Filed under: Fukomys damarensis (Damara mole-rat)
Lineage: Eukaryota; Metazoa; Chordata; Mammalia; Rodentia; Bathyergidae
Description: lncRNA (ENSFDAG00000030301.1)
Source: RNAcentral